This 406-nucleotide ribosomal RNA is filed under the name uncultured bacterium. RNAcentral describes it as "partial 16S ribosomal RNA". It matches the Rfam family "Bacterial small subunit ribosomal RNA", at positions 29 to 526 of the family's 1533-position model. The record is from RNAcentral.
AUUGAACGCUGGCGGCAGGCUUAACACAUGCAAGUCGAACGAGCGGCGGACGGGUGAGUAAUGUCUGGGAAACUGCCUGAUGGAGGGGGAUAACUACUGGAAACGGUAGCUAAUACCGCAUACCAUCAGAUGUGCCCAGAUGGGAUUAGCUAGUGGGUGGGGUAAUGGCUCACCUAGGCGACGAUCCCUAGCUGGUCUGAGAGGAAGACCAGCCACACUGGAACUGAGAAACGGUCCAGACUCCGACGGGAGGAAGCAGUGGGGAAUAUGGGACAAGGGGCGCAAGCCUGAUGCAGCCAGGCCGCGUGUGUGAAGAAGGCCUUCGGGUUGUAAAGCACUUUCAGCGAGGAGGCGUUACUCGCAGAGGAAGCACCGGCUAACUCCGUGCCAGCAGCCGCGGUAAUAC